Syngnathus acus (greater pipefish) is the source of this 474-nucleotide long non-coding RNA. RefSeq lists it as uncharacterized. The record is from RefSeq and is a predicted model, not a curated record. The transcript is spliced from 4 exons. Lineage: Eukaryota; Metazoa; Chordata; Actinopteri; Syngnathiformes; Syngnathidae.
CCGAAGAGUUAGCAAGUGGGCGACGCUGCGAUGCUAACCCAAAGCUAAGCUCGUCUGUGUUUUUACAGCACAUUAGUACAACGACGGAAGGAUUUCCUCAACUUUUGCUCACUUGGCGACGUCGAUCUUCACCUCAACCAUCAGCUUGGACGGGAAAUAACUGGGGUGAAACUGUCCCCCGGUGAUGGAUGGUCAAGGCCAGCCGAGGGCACAUAUUAAUAGUGACGUCACACUUUCCCUCUUUCUGAUUGGUUGACAAUCCCCGCUCCCUGCGCACGUUUGUCGUUUCCCCUCGGGCCCAUUAUCAGAUUCCCAGCGCAGGAUCCCGGCAGCUGCGGUUAUUGUGGAAGACUACGUUUAUAGCCCCAUGAUGUCUGUGACAACACCGGCUUUUAUGAUGGAUGGAGCGUACCUGUCACGACCGAGUAGCUCUGGGAGACGCUGGAGGCCAGGUCGGAGCUGCCGCUGCUGGAG